GACGAACGCUGGCGGCGUGCUUAACACAUGCAAGUCGAACGGAAACGCCCUGCUUUUGUGGGGUGCUCGAGUGGCGAACGGGUGCGUAACACGUGAGUAACCUGCCCUUGACUUUGGUAUAACUUCAGGAAACUGGGGCUAAUACCGGAUAGGAGCUCCUGCUGCAUUGUGGGGGUUGGAACGUUGCGGCGGUUGGGGAUGGACUCGCGGCUUAUCAGCUUGUUGGUGGGGUAGUGGCUUACCAAGGCUUUGACGGGUAGCCGGCCUGAGAGGGUGACCGGCCACAUUGGGACUGAGAGACGGCCCAGACUCCUACGGGAGGCAGCAGUGGGGAAUAUUGCACAAUGGGCGGAAGCCUGAUGCAGAAACGCCGCGUGCGGGAUGACGGCCUUCGGGUUGUAAACCGCUUUCGCCUGUGACGAAGCGUGAGUGACGGUAAUGGGUAAAGAAGCACCGGCUAACUACGUG
This 468-nucleotide ribosomal RNA is filed under the name uncultured bacterium. Its description in RNAcentral is "partial 16S ribosomal RNA". It matches the Rfam family "Bacterial small subunit ribosomal RNA", at positions 28 to 507 of the family's 1533-position model. The record is from RNAcentral.